UACGUAGGGGGCAAGCGUUGUCCGGAUUCAUUGGGCGUAAAGAGCGUGUAGGCGGCCAGGUAGGUCGGUUGUGAAAACUGGAGGCUCAACCUUCAGAGGUCGACCGAAACCAUCUGGCUAGAGUCCGGGAGAGGAGAGUGGAAUUCCAGGUGUAGCGGUGAAAUGCGCAGAUAUCAGGAAGAACACCCGUGGCGAAAGCGGCUCUCUGGAACGGUACUGACGCUGAGACGCGAAAGCGUGGGGAGCGAACAGG
This 253-nucleotide ribosomal RNA is filed under the name uncultured bacterium. Its description in RNAcentral is "partial 16S ribosomal RNA". It matches the Rfam family "Bacterial small subunit ribosomal RNA", at positions 524 to 776 of the family's 1533-position model. The record is from RNAcentral.